This 277-nucleotide ribosomal RNA is filed under the name uncultured bacterium. Its description in RNAcentral is "partial 16S ribosomal RNA". It matches the Rfam family "Bacterial small subunit ribosomal RNA", at positions 333 to 602 of the family's 1533-position model. The record is from RNAcentral.
UCCUUCCUACGGGGCGCAGCAGUAGGGAAUCUUCCACAAUGGGCGAAAGCCUGAUGGAGCAACGCCGCGUGGGUGAAGAAGGUAUUCGGAUCGUAAAUCCCUGUUGUUAGAGAAGAAAGUGCGUGAGAGUAACUGUUCACGUUUCGACGGUAUCUAACCAGAAAGCCACGGCCAACUACGUGCCAGCAGCCGCGGUAAUACGUAGGUGGCAAGCGUUGUCCGGAUUUAUUGGGCGUAAAGCGAGUGCAGGCGGUUCAAUAAGUCUGUUUUGAAAGCC